This 253-nucleotide ribosomal RNA is filed under the name uncultured bacterium. RNAcentral describes it as "partial 16S ribosomal RNA". It matches the Rfam family "Bacterial small subunit ribosomal RNA", at positions 524 to 776 of the family's 1533-position model. The record is from RNAcentral.
UACGUAGGGUGCAAGCGUUGUCCGGAAUUAUUGGGCGUAAAGAGCUCGUAGGCGGUCUGUCGCGUCUGCUGUGAAAAUCCAGGGCUCAACCCUGGACCUGCAGUGGGUACGGGCAGACUAGAGUGCGGUAGGGGAGAUCGGAAUUCCUGGUGUAGCGGUGAAAUGCGCAGAUAUCAGGAGGAACACCGGUGGCGAAGGCGGAUCUCUGGGCCAUUACUGACGCUGAGGAGCGAAAGCGUGGGGAGCGAACAGG